RNAcentral lists this ribosomal RNA (405 nucleotides) under uncultured bacterium. RNAcentral describes it as "partial 16S ribosomal RNA". It matches the Rfam family "Bacterial small subunit ribosomal RNA", at positions 30 to 526 of the family's 1533-position model. The record is from RNAcentral.
AUUGAACGCUUGCGGCAUGCUUAACACAUGCAAGUCGAACGAGUGUCUGACGGGUGAGUAAUACUUGGGAAUUUACCUUGUGGAGGGGGAUAACUACGCGAAAGAGUAGCUAAUACCGCAUACCAUGGGAGCGGCCCAGCUUGGAUUAGCUAGUUGGUGGGGUAAAGGCUCACCAAGCGACGCUCCGUAGCUGGUCUGAGAGGAUGACCAGCCACACUGGGACUGAGACACGGCCCAGACUCCUACGGGAGGCAGCAGUGGGGAAUAUUGCGCAAUGGGGGAAACCCUGACGCAGCCAUGCCGCGUGAAUGAUGAAGGCCUUCGGGUUGUAAAGUUCUUUCGGUAGCGAGGCGUUAUCUGCAGAAUAAGCACCGGCUAACUCCGUGCCAGCCGCCGCGGUAAUAC